AUGCCGCGUGUGUGAAGAAGGCCUGCGGGUUGUAAAGCACUUUCAGUAGAGAAGAAAAGCCUAGGGUUAAUACCCCUGAGUCUUGACGUAACCUACAGAAGAAGCACCGGCUAACUCCGUGCCAGCAGCCGCGGUAAUAAUCGAAUUCCCGCGGCC
RNAcentral lists this ribosomal RNA (156 nucleotides) under uncultured Gammaproteobacteria bacterium. RNAcentral's name for it is "partial 16S ribosomal RNA". It matches the Rfam family "Bacterial small subunit ribosomal RNA", at positions 394 to 540 of the family's 1533-position model. Lineage: Bacteria; Pseudomonadati; Pseudomonadota; Gammaproteobacteria. The record is from RNAcentral.